Molecule: long non-coding RNA, 2084 nt
Filed under: Olea europaea subsp. europaea
Lineage: Eukaryota; Viridiplantae; Streptophyta; Magnoliopsida; Lamiales; Oleaceae
Source: RNAcentral
AUAGUUCAACAAUUAUAAAGAUUUAUGGAAAUUUCUCACCAAACUACUGUUUGUGAAAAACAGUAAAAAAGGGAUCAGUCCUGAGACCAAGAACACAAUCACCAGUGGCCAAAUGGUGAUAAGUCCACCGUUACUCACUGAAAAGUCACAAAACAAGAUUAUUAGUGAAAAAAAUUUGUCAGAUCCUUUAAAAAAUCGACAGAUCUUAAAAAAAAUGUCAGAUCCCAAAUAUUUUUUUUUCGACCCAAAGAAUAACUUGUGUAAAGAAGCACAUCCAGAAACCCUCUUGGCUUUGAUACCAAUUUUGUUGGGUAUUUCUUGAUGAUAAAGAACUCUAACCGAAAACAAUAAAUCAAAGUACUCAAAUGAUAAAACGAAAAACAAGACAAAACAACGAAAUUUGUUGACCCAGUUCAGCCAAACACGGCCUAAUUUGGGGGGCUCAGGAGUUGAACCCGUUUCACUAUGCAAAUCGCCGUCCAAGAAAACUAAAGUUGCAUCAAACCACUCAGAAUACACAAGUUUCGAUCAUCGAUCAACAGAUAUACGAAACUAAACACAAAUCCUUCCACAGUACUUAGCCCCAACUCCACAGUUUACACAAACCGAAACCAACAGCCACAUAAACCAACCCACAAAUUAUUGUAGCAAGGCUAUUAUACAAGGCCUAGUGUAGAAACACAAUUAUACAGGAAGAAUUUAACCGAAGAGAAGAAAGAGAUGAAAAAUCUCUCUCGAAGAAGGCCUCCAGAGAGAGACCAGAAACAAGAAAAAUGAAUCUGAAAAACCAACCGUCCAGCAGCCAUUUUCAUUUGGAAGUUUCCAUUACACUGUCCGGUGGAAAAUAAUCCAUUUUAAUACGUGGUAUGUGGUUGAUAAUGAAGUUUGACCAAAUCAUUGCCAAGAACAUAGAAUAUCUCCAGGAUUCAUUUGGAGAAAUAUGGAAGUAACUAAUGAUCUAGGCUGUAAAUGAGAGAUUGAAUUAAGUGGCAAACAGAUUCUUUAGUAAUUUUGGGUAACCAUAAUAACAUGUCAACAUCUAAUAUGAAGUACAUCAGGAUUUUCUUGAGCAUAGAAAGAUUGAAUGAGAAAAAGUUGCAUCGAGAUACACCUUUCUGGAUCGUUAUUUCAGAAAGGUCACUUUACUGAUGCUAGAAUAAAAGGUGCAAAAUUGAUAUCACUCCAUGUCAGAGUGGGAAGUGGAUGUACUAAUACUUUGCACCAAAUAUUCAACAUAUUGAACUAAUGCCGCCAGUAAAGGGUUAGUGGCAUUAAUUUGAUGUCUGGGCUUUUUAUUACAGCUUUUAGGUCAUUUUUUAUUGGUUAAGGCAAAUCUUUGGGGAUCCCAUUUAGAUUGAUGUAUUUGAAAUCAAUUUCCCAAAUCCGGUAAUGGUGUUUGAUAACUCACACUUUCUAAGGUUAUAAGUUCACCAUAAAACCUAACCAAUUUGAGGCUCACUUUAUGUUGAUUUCAAAUCCAUUGACUCUCCAUCGUCAUUCUUCAGCAUAGUGCAGAGGUGGUUUGUGAGAGUUUAAAGCAACAGUGGUGUUGCAACGACAAUAUCAUGGAGGUGUUGGGUUGAGAGACGGUGGGUGAUGGUAGUGGUGGCAGGUUGUGGUGGUCCUUGACAGAGGUGGCUUUGUGCGGUUUUGGCGGGACAGAAGGUGACCAAGGCAGGUGAUGGUGAAGGCUAAUGGCAUUGACAAUUCCAGCCUGAGCUUUACUUAAUAGGUGAGGAAAUUUAUUAAAACCCUCCUGACAUUCUUGUUUGAAAACUAAACUUCAUUGCAAUUCUCAGGACUAAUUAUGUAAUUAACCAUGACUGGAGCCUAGAAAUCAAAAUUCAAGUGCUUGCUGCUUGGGUCCUGAUGCAUUUUUUUGAUUUCGUUGUGAAUUUUUGUGGUUUGAUUCAGUUGUGUGAAGGCUGAAAAUAGGAAUUUUCUUAUGACGGAUUGAGCAUGCAGUGCGGUUUUGUAAAUUAUAAUCAUGCGACAUAAAUUUGAUGCAUUGCUCUAUACAUGUCUCUGUGAUGUAUAAUUGCUCUCUCUCUAUGUAAGUUUGCUGCAAACUUUUUUCCUUUUAG